This is a non-coding RNA of Glycine soja, 120 nucleotides long. Lineage: Eukaryota; Viridiplantae; Streptophyta; Magnoliopsida; Fabales; Fabaceae. The record is from Rfam.
UUCUUAUUGGAUGAUAACUGUCACAUAUCAUGUUCUGAAUGGAUGUCAACUCCAUGAAAAAUGAAAUGCAUUGUUGUUUUCAUUAACUAAUCAGAACAUGACACGUGACAGUCAUCAUCC